This 433-nucleotide ribosomal RNA is filed under the name uncultured bacterium. RNAcentral's name for it is "partial 16S ribosomal RNA". It matches the Rfam family "Bacterial small subunit ribosomal RNA", at positions 29 to 507 of the family's 1533-position model. The record is from RNAcentral.
AACGAACGCUGGCGGCAUGCCUAACGCAUGCGAGUCGAACGAGACCUUCGGGUCUAGUGGCGCACGGGUGCGUAACGCGUGGGAACCUGCCCUUAGGUUCGGAAUAACUCCCCGAAAGGGGUGCUAAUACCGGAUAAUGUCUUCGGACCAAAGAUUUAUCGCCUUUGGAUGGGCCCGCGUUGGAUUAGCUAGUUGGUAGGGUAAAAGCCUACCAAGGCGACGAUCCAUAGCUGGUCUGAGAGGAUGAUCAGCCACACUGGGACUGAGACACGGCCCAGACUCCUACGGGAGGCAGCAGUGGGGAAUAUUGGACAAUGGGCGAAAGCCUGAUCCAGCAAUGCCGCGUGAGUGAUGAAGGCCUUAGGGUUGUAAAGCUCUUUUACCCGGGAUGAUAAUGACAGUACCGGGAGAAUAAGCUCCGGCUAACUCCGUG